GUUUAACGUUAACCCCAGAUUAUUAUCAACUCUGUGAGUGUUAUCUCUUCUCUUCCUUCUGUUUGGCAGAGCGCAGAUCUCAUUCUCUCCACCUUCAACUACGUAGUUUAUCUUCUGUUUGGCUCCUCACAUCUGCAUACUUUCUCUCGCUUUCAUAAGAGUCUCUCUCUCUGCUUUGGCUUCCGCUCUCCAGAUCUGAUCCUCAAAAUCACUAAGAGUUGGAGAGAAGAGUGAUGCCUUCAAUUGUGCAAAAUGGACCCAGAAACAAUCCUCAAACCCAAAAGCCCCACUCUAACUUCCCCAAUAAACCUCACAAUCCCGAUUCUCUGGCCAGGAGAGAGAGGAUUGAGAGGCAGAGAGAGUCUCUACCAAUAGCAUCAGU
This 382-nucleotide unclassified non-coding RNA is filed under the name Hevea brasiliensis (rubber tree). Lineage: Eukaryota; Viridiplantae; Streptophyta; Magnoliopsida; Malpighiales; Euphorbiaceae. The record is from RNAcentral.